RNAcentral lists this ribosomal RNA (404 nucleotides) under Actinomycetes bacterium. RNAcentral's name for it is "Actinobacteria bacterium partial 16S ribosomal RNA". It matches the Rfam family "Bacterial small subunit ribosomal RNA", at positions 355 to 776 of the family's 1533-position model. Lineage: Bacteria; Bacillati; Actinomycetota; Actinomycetes. The record is from RNAcentral.
UGGGGAAUAUUGGACAAUGGGCGCAAGCCUGAUCCAGCCAUGCCGCGUGAGUGAUGAAGGCCCUAGGGUUGUAAAGCUCUUUCACCGGUGAAGAUAAUGACGGUAACCGGAGAAGAAGCCCCGGCUAACUUCGUGCCAGCAGCCGCGGUAAUACGAAGGGGGCUAGCGUUGUUCGGAUUUACUGGGCGUAAAGCGCACGUAGGCGGACUUUUAAGUCAGGGGUGAAAUCCCGGGGCUCAACCCCGGAACUGCCUUUGAUACUGGAAGUCUUGAGUAUGGUAGAGGUGAGUGGAAUUCCGAGUGUAGAGGUGAAAUUCUUAGAUAUUCGGAGGAACACCAGUGGCGAAGGCGGCUCACUGGACCAUUACUGCCGCUGAGGUGCGAAAGCGUGGGGAGCAAACAGG